GGACAGAUGGGAGCUUGCUCCUGAUGUUAGCGGCGGACGGUGGAUUAGGACGUGGGUAACCUGCCUGUAAGACUGGGAUAACUCCGGGAAACCGGGGCUAAUACCGGAUGCUUGAUUGAACCGCAUGGUUCAAUUAUAAAAGGUGGCUUCUGGCUACCACUAACAGAUGAACCGGCGGGGCUUUACCUGGUUGUGAGGGUACGGGCUCCCCAGGCGACCGACUUGGGCCGGCUUCGCUUUUUUUGGCCUUAAUAGGGCUUAAAACCCGUCCAAAAUCCUACCAAACAACCUUUGGGAAUCUUCCGAAAUGUACGAAAGGCUUACCGGGGAAGGCAAAAAGAUUUUUGAAGGUUUUCAGAUUGUUAAAUUCGGUUGGUGGGGGGGCCGGUUCCGUUCUAAUUGGGGGGCCCCUGACGGGACAAAACCCGAAAGCCCCCGCUUACUUCCUGCCAGCAAGCGCGGUAAUUCGGAGGUGGGAAGGCUUUUCCGGAUUUUGGGCGCUCAAGCCGGCCCCCGCCGGCCCAAAGGCAAAAGGGAAGGAGGGGUUAGACGGGGGGGGUCCUUGGAAAUUGGGGAACCUAAGGCAAAAGGGGAAAAUCGAAUUCCCCGGGAGCGGGGAAAAUGGUUGGGGUUUGGGGAACACCCAGGGGGCAGGCUAUUUUUUAGGCUGUAACUGACGCUGAGGCGCGAAAGCGUGGGGAGCGAACAGGAUUAGAUACCCUGGUAGUCCACGCCGUAAACGAUGAGUGCUAAGUGUUAGAGGGUUUCCGCCCUUUAGUGCUGCAGCAAACGCAUUAAGCACUCCGCCUGGGGAGUACGGUCGCAAGACUGAAACUCAAAGGAAUUGACGGGGGCCCGCACAAGCGGUGGAGCAUGUGGUUUAAUUCGAAGCAACGCGAAGAACCUUACCAGGUCUUGACAUCCUCUGACAACCCUAGAGAUAGGGCUUCCCCUUCGGGGGCAGAGUGACAGGUGGUGCAUGGUUGUCGUCAGCUCGUGUCGUGAGAUGUUGGGUUAAGUCCCGCAACGAGCGCAACCCUUGAUCUUAGUUGCCAGCAUUCAGUUGGGCACUCUAAGGUGACUGCCGGUGACAAACCGGAGGAAGGUGGGGAUGACGUCAAAUCAUCAUGCCCCUUAUGACCUGGGCUACACACGUGCUACAAUGGGCAGAACAAAGGGCAGCGAAGCCGCGAGGCUAAGCCAAUCCCACAAAUCUGUUCUCAGUUCGGAUCGCAGUCUGCAACUCGACUGCGUGAAGCUGGAAUCGCUAGUAAUCGCGGUUCGCAUGCCGCGGUGAAUACGUUCCCGGGCCUUGUACAGACCCCAACACACCACGAGAGUUUGUAACACCCGAAGUCGGUGAGUU
Molecule: ribosomal RNA, 1366 nt
Filed under: Bacillus licheniformis
Lineage: Bacteria; Bacillati; Bacillota; Bacilli; Caryophanales; Bacillaceae
Description: partial 16S ribosomal RNA
Rfam family: Bacterial small subunit ribosomal RNA
Source: RNAcentral